AGCGCAGGCACGGGCAGGCCAAGGGCUUAAAAAAGAAAAGAAAAAAAAACCCUAAUCUCUCCCCACUUCUCUCCUAUCUCUCUCUCUCGCUGCAAACAGCAGCGGCGCCCUCUUUCAUCCUCAGCCAUCACCUAUCCUGCUGCAACGACGGCCACCCUACCCACAGCUCCGUCACUCUCCCGAGUAUCUCUGUCAGCCACAACCCAGCCAAGCCCAGCAACCACAUCGUCGGCGACACCGCUCACGGCCAGCGUACCUCACGACACAACCCCGCCUCCCUCUCGGCCCCCCAUUCUCUUCCUUCUCCUGCAACUCUGUGCGCCAUCUUCAUCCGCACCAGCCACCACGCCGGUAAGCAACUGGCCACACAGUAGUGAAGCAGCCCCGCUCCCAUCCUUGCUGACAGUACACCACUCCGGCGACACCAGUGGCUACGGCUUACCCACAGAACACCCGGGAAGGUUCUGAACCUCCAGCCUGCCUCUGCAACUCUGCUGCGACCACCAACGCGGCCACCCUGCUGCUCCUCUGCCUCUGCUCCAGAACCAGCCGCACCCGCCUCUGCUGUGGCAAUAGCUUCAGGCUCCUGCAAUCCCGGCCAGCCCUAAGAACCCGCUGAUGCAGCAAGAUACCGUGAUGAGCUUAAGGAAAUUGCACCACACUUUCUACUGAAAUGUUCAAGCGAUGCAACAACCUUGUUGUGCUACAGGUGCCAUUUAAUCUCGCUGAGUUGACUGAAAAAGUUGCACAUGACGACAGGGUACAGAUUCUCAAAUUUUCCCAAGCAAAGUUGAAGGAAUUCAUUUCAUUUUGUGAGGCAACCAAAGUUGUGCCUGAAGUGGAGUUGGAAACAUCAUGCCAAGGGGGUCCAAAUGCUCUUGCUGAUUGAAGGGCUAAAAAGAUUGUUCUGUUCAUAUGCCAAAGGGUUGCAGAGUCCAAGCUGCUAGAAAUAAAAGAAAGGAAAGAGAGACGGGGAUGUUCAACAAAAGCAGCUGCAUUAUCUACUCCCAUUGAGGUUGGAGAGGAAGAUGUGCUGGAUGAUGAUGGAGAAGAAGAACGUGAGAUAUUUAUAGGCAGAGAAUAAACUAGCAGGAAUAGGAUCGUGGAGCAAAGGGAGAGAACGAGGGCUGUUUCUUCCCCAGCCGAACGCUUCAACAGAGCAGGUACUUUCCUUUUCUUCAAUCUUCCAUGGACUCCCAACAUAAACUCCACGACUCAACUGAUGACCUUUUCGACACUUCUCUGUAUCUCGAGCAAACCCAUCUUCACGAAGCGUUCGACGACGGCUACAAAGAUGGUUUGUCUUCUGGAAAAGAAGAAGGAAGACAAGUAGGCCUCAAACUAGGGUUUGAAACUAGGGAGGACCUAGGGUUUUACCGCAGUUGCAUCGAUGUUUGGACAUCCGCAGCUCGAAUUGACCCAACCUGAUUCUCUGCUAGGGUCCAUAAGAGCAUCAAACAGAUGGACGAGUUGAUCCGAGAGUACCCAGUUGCCGACUCAGAAAAUGAGAGGAUCCAAGAGAUUAUGGGGUUCUUGAGGUUGAAAUUUAGGGUUGUUUGUGCUACAUUAUUUGUGAAAUUGGAGUUUUAAGGGGUACCCAAAAAGUUCUGAGAUCAAGGAGAUUGAAUUUUGAAGGGUGCUCUGGGUUUACAGGAGAGGGAAUAUUGCUAGUUUUAGUGUUUUUUCUUCGUUUCAGAAGUUGUUAAUAUAUGUGUGUAUAAGCUUUGUCCAAUGGAGGUUUUCCACUGCAUUUAUUUAUUUUAUACAGUCGAGGUUUGGUUUAUUUGAUUUGUAUUGCUCAAAUAUUUCUUGCGUGGUAGUGAUUUUUCUCGAUGGAUUAAUUGAACCAUCUAAUUUUGCUA
Molecule: RNA transcript, 1862 nt
Organism: Malania oleifera
Lineage: Eukaryota; Viridiplantae; Streptophyta; Magnoliopsida; Santalales; Ximeniaceae
Exons: 6
Source: RefSeq, a predicted model, not a curated record